AUCUACAGCAAUACCAUCCUGAAUGCACCCGAGCUCGUCUGAAGCUAAGCAGGGUCAGGCCUGGUUAGUACUUUGAUGGGAGACCACCUGGGAAUACCGGAUGCUGUAGGCU
Cricetulus griseus (Chinese hamster) is the source of this 112-nucleotide ribosomal RNA. NCBI's taxonomy places the organism in Eukaryota, Metazoa, Chordata, Mammalia, Rodentia, Cricetidae. The record is from Ensembl.